UGAUGCAGAGCAAAUCCCCAAAAAUUAGUCUCAGUUCAGAUUGCAGGCUGAAACUCGCCUGCAUGAAGUCGGAAUUGCUAGUAAUCGCAGAUCAGCAUGCUGCGGUGAAUACGUUCCCGGGCCUUGUACACACCGCCCGUCACACCAUGGGAGUCGGUAACACCCGAAGUCGGUAGCCUAACCGUAAGGAGGGCGCCGCCGAAGGUGGGAUUGAUGACUGGGGUGAAGUCGUAACAAGGUAGC
This 243-nucleotide ribosomal RNA is filed under the name uncultured bacterium. RNAcentral's name for it is "partial 16S ribosomal RNA". It matches the Rfam family "Bacterial small subunit ribosomal RNA", at positions 1258 to 1500 of the family's 1533-position model. The record is from RNAcentral.